Molecule: long non-coding RNA, 1542 nt
Filed under: Homo sapiens (human)
Lineage: Eukaryota; Metazoa; Chordata; Mammalia; Primates; Hominidae
Description: non-protein coding lnc-IMP4-7:1
Source: RNAcentral
AUGUUCACCAACUGUUGACUGUUCUCAGCCAACUAUAAAGAUACCGGGAUAUUCUAUCUACUAUUCAGUGCAUGAGCAGGGAUAGUGGGUCCAGAUUUAAGCCUCCUUAUUCAAGCUGAACUGGGCCAACCAGGUACUCUUUUAGGAGAUGAUCAAAUUUAUAAUGUCAUCAUUACAGCUCAUGCAUUUGUCAUAAUUUUCUUUAUAGUAAUGCCAAUUAUAAUUGGAGGCUUCGGCAACUGAUUAGUUCCUCUGAUAAUUGCCCCCCCAAUAUAGCAUUUCCCUGCAUAAAUAGUAGGAGUUUCCGACUCCUCUCACCCUCUUUCCUACUAUUAUUUGCAUCCGCUAUAGUAGAGGCAGGCGCUGGAACCGGCUGAACAGUCUACCCCCACCCCCCCACCCCUUAGCAGGAAAUCUAACACAUGCGGGAGCCUCUGUAGAUUUAACCAUCUUUUCACUCCAUUUGGCAGGUGUUUCUUCUAUUUUAGGGCUAUUAACUUUAUUACCACAAUUAUUAAUAUAAACCCCCAGCCAUGUCCCAAUAUCACACACUCCUCUUCAUCUGAUCAGUCUUAAUUACAGCAGUUCUUCUACUCCUUUCUCUCCCAGUCCUAGCUGCUGGCAUUACUAUAUUGUUAACUGACCGCAAUCUUAAUACUACUUUUUUUCGACCCAGCUAGUGGAGGUGAUCCUAUCUUAUAUCAGCAUUUAUUCUGAUUCUUCGGUCACCCCGAAGUCUCUCUCAUCUUACCAGGCUUCGGAUAAUUUCCCAUAUCAUAACAUAUUAUUCUGGAAAAAAAAAGAACCAUUUGGGUAUAUGGGCAUAGUAUGAGCCAUAAUAUCAAUUGGCUUCUUAGGGUUUAUCGUAUGGGCCCACCACAUAUUUACAGUAGGAAUAGAUGUAGAUACAUGAGCAUAUUUCACCUCUGCUACUAUAAUUAUUGCUAUUCCUACUGGUGUCAAAGUCUUUAGCUGGCUAGCUACACUUCACAGCAGUAGUAUCAAAUGAUCCCCCACAAUGCUCUGAGCCCUGGGAUUUAUUUUCCUUUUUACAACAGGAGGCCUAACCGGCAUCGUACUAGCCAAUUCAUCACUGGAUAUUGUACUACAUGAUAUUAUGCUGUAGCCCAUUUCCAUUAUGUCUUAUCAAAAGGAGCCAUAUUUGCCAUUAUGGGAGGCUUUGUUCACUGAUUCCCUCUAUUUUCAGGUUAUACUCAAUCAAAUCUAUGCUAAAACUCACUUUGCUAUUAUAUUUGUAAGUGCGAAUUUAACUUUUUUCCCACAACACUUCUUCGGCCUAUCUGGUAUGCCUUGACGUUACUCCAGUUAUCCUGACGUGUACACUGCAUGAAAUAUUAUUUCAUCCUAGGCUCAUUUAUUUCCCUAACAGCAGUAAUACUAAUAAUUUUCAUGGUCUGAGAAGCCUUCACUUCAAAAUGAAAAGUUCUAAUAGUUGAGCAACCAUCUACCCACUUAGAAUGACUAUAUGGCUGUCCACCAACCCAUCACACAUUCGAAGAACCAACCUACAUGAAGACCUAA